RNAcentral lists this ribosomal RNA (248 nucleotides) under uncultured bacterium. Its description in RNAcentral is "partial small subunit ribosomal RNA". It matches the Rfam family "Bacterial small subunit ribosomal RNA", at positions 26 to 286 of the family's 1533-position model. The record is from RNAcentral.
AGAAUCAACGCUGGCGGCGUGCCUAACACAUGCAAGUCGAACGGGAAAGUGGGAGCAAUCCCACGAGUAAAGUGGCGCACGGGUGAGUAACACGUGACUAACCUACCCUUGAGUGGGGGAUAACCUAGGGAAACCUGGGCUAAUACCGCAUAAUACCUACGGGUCAAAGGAGCAAUUCGCUUUAGGAGGGGGUCGCGGCAGAUUAGUUAGUUGGCGGGGUAAUGGCCCACCAAGACAGUGAUCUGUAU